This 586-nucleotide ribosomal RNA is filed under the name uncultured bacterium. RNAcentral describes it as "bacterial SSU rRNA". It matches the Rfam family "Bacterial small subunit ribosomal RNA", at positions 338 to 916 of the family's 1533-position model. The record is from RNAcentral.
CCUACGGGAGGCAGCAGUGGGGAAUUUUGGACAAUGGGGGGCAACCCUGAUCCAGCAAUGCCGCGUGAGUGAAGAAGGCCCUCGGGUUGUAAAGCUCUUUUGUCAGGGAAGAAACGGUGGUUCCUAAUACGAGCUGCUAAUGACGGUACCUGAAGAAUAAGCACCGGCUAACUACGUGCCAGCAGCCGCGGUAAUACGUAGGGUGCAAGCGUUAAUCGGAAUUACUGGGCGUAAAGCGUGCGCAGGCGGUUAUAUAAGACAGAGGUGAAAUCCCCGGGCUCAACCUGGGAACUGCCUUUGUGACUGUAUGGCUAGAGUGUGUCAGAGGGGGGUAGAAUUCCACGUGUAGCAGUGAAAUGCGUAGAUAUGUGGAGGAAUACCGAUGGCGAAGGCAGCCCCCUGGGAUAACACUGACGCUCAUGCACGAAAGCGUGGGGAGCAAACAGGAUUAGAUACCCUGGUAGUCCACGCCCUAAACGAUGUCUACUAGUUGUCGGGACUUAAUUGUCUUGGUAACGCAGCUAACGCGUGAAGUAGACCGCCUGGGGAGUACGGUCGCAAGAUUAAAACUCAAAUGAAUUGACGG